RNAcentral lists this ribosomal RNA (497 nucleotides) under uncultured bacterium. RNAcentral describes it as "partial 16S ribosomal RNA". It matches the Rfam family "Bacterial small subunit ribosomal RNA", at positions 28 to 507 of the family's 1533-position model. The record is from RNAcentral.
GAUGAACGCUGGCGGCGUGCCUAAUACAUGCAAGUCGAGCGAACAGAUGAGGAGCUUGCUCCUCUGACGUUAGCGGCGGACGGGUGAGUAACACGUGGAUAACCUACCUAUAAGACUGGGAUAACUUCGGGAAACCGGAGCUAAUACCGGAUAAUAUAUUGAACCGCAUGGUCCAAUAGUGAAAGACGGUUUUGCUGUCACUUAUAGAUGGAUCCGCGCCGCAUUAGCUAGUUGGUAAGGUAACGGCUUACCAAGGCAACGAUGCGUAGCCGACCUGAGAGGGUGAUCGGCCACACUGGAACGGAGACACGGUCCAGACUCCUACGGGAGGCAGCAGUAGGGAAUCUUCCGCAAUGGGCGAAAGCCUGACGGAGCAACGCCGCGUGAGUGAUGAAGGUCUUCGGAUCGUAAAACUCUGUUAUUAGGGAAGAACAAAUGUGUAAGUAACUAUGCACGUCUUGACGGUACCUAAUCAGGAAGCCACGGCUAACUACGUG